AGAGUUUGAUCAUGGCUCAGGACGAACGCUGGCGGCGUGCCUAAAACAUGCAAGUCGAACGGGGUCCAUCCUUCGGGAGAAGACCUAGUGGCGAACGGGUGAGUAACACGUGAGGAACCUGCCUCGAAGUUCGGGAUAAGCCAGGGAAACUUGGUCUAAUACCGGAUAUCUUCAUCGAAACUUAUGUCUUGGUGAAGAAAGUUUUUCGCUUCGAGAGGGUCUCGCGUCCUAUCAGCUUGUUGGUGGGGUAACGGCCUACCAAGGCUUCGACGGGUAGCUGGUCUGAGAGGAUGGUCAGCCACACUGGGACUGAGACACGGCCCAGACUCCUACGGGAGGCAGCAGUUAGGAAUCUUGCGCAAUGGGCGAAAGCCUGACGCAGCAACGCCGCGUGAGGGAUGAAGGCUCUCGGGUUGUAAACCUCUUUCAGCAGGAACGAAAUUGACGGUACCUGCAGAAGAAGCUCCGGCCAACUACGUGCCAGCAGCCGCGGUAAUACGUAGGGAGCAAGCGUUGUCCGGAUUUAUUGGGCGUAAAGAGCUCGUAGGCGGCUUAGAAAGUCAGGUGUGAAAACUCUGGGCUCAACCCAGAGACGCCACUUGAUACUUCUAUGGCUUGAGUUCGGUAGGGGACCAUGGAAUUCCUGGUGUAGCGGUGAAAUGCGCAGAUAUCAGGAGGAACACCGAUGGCGAAGGCAGUGGUCUGGGCCGAUACUGACGCUGAGGAGCGAAAGCGUGGGGAGCGAACAGGAUUAGAUACCCCCGUAGUCC
Molecule: ribosomal RNA, 770 nt
Filed under: uncultured bacterium
Lineage: Bacteria
Description: bacterial SSU rRNA
Rfam family: Bacterial small subunit ribosomal RNA
Source: RNAcentral